AAAAAAGAAAUCUGGCUCCUUUGGGGUCCGAGUUGUAAUUUGUAGAGGGUGCUUUGGCGUUGGUUGUGGUCUAAGUUCCUUGGAACAGGACGUCACAGAGGGUGAGAAUCCCGUACGUGGCCGCCAGCCUUCGCCGUGUAAAGCCCCUUCGAUGAGUCGAGUUGUUUGGGAAUGCAGCUCUAAAUGGGAGGUAAAUAUCUUCUAAAGCUAAAUAUUUGCCAGAGACCGAUAGCGCACAAGUAGAGUGAUCGAAAGUUGAAAGCACUUUGGAAAGAGAGUCAAAUAGCACGUGAAAUUGUUGAAAAGGAAGCGCUUGCAGCUAGACGUGCCUUGGGUUGAUCAGCCGGACUUUUGUCCGGUGCACUCUUCCUUUGGCAGGCCAGCAUCAGUUUGGGCGGCUGGAUAAAGGUCUGUUAAACGUGACUUCCUUCGGGGAGAGGUUAUAGGGCAGACGACUUGCAGCCAGCCUGAACUGAGGUCCGCGCAUCUGCUACGAUGCUGGCAUAAUAGCUGUAAGCGGCGGGUCUUGAAACACGGACCAAGGAGUCUAACAUCUAUGCGAGUGUUUGGGUGUCAAGCCCGAGCGCGUAAUGAAAGUAAACGGAGGUGGGAACCUUUAAGGUGCACCAUCGACCGAUCCUGAUGUCUUCGGUUGGAUUUGAGUAAGAGCAUAGCUGUUGGGACCCGAAAGAUGGUGAACUAUGCCUGAAUAGGGUGAAGCCAGAGCAAACUCUGGUGGAGGCUCGCAGCGGUUCUGACGUGCAAAUCGAUCGUCCCCGA
Molecule: ribosomal RNA, 780 nt
Filed under: Lophiostoma sp.
Lineage: Eukaryota; Fungi; Ascomycota; Dothideomycetes; Pleosporales; Lophiostomataceae
Description: partial large subunit ribosomal RNA
Rfam family: Eukaryotic large subunit ribosomal RNA
Source: RNAcentral